UAGUCCAUGCCGUAAACGAUGAAUACUGGGUCUUCGGGGAUUCGACCCCCUGUGGACCGAAGCUAACGCGUUAAGUAUUCCGCCUGGGGAGUACGGUCGCAAGACUAAAACUCAAAGGAAUUGACGGGGGCCCGCACAAGCAGCGGAGCGUGUGGUUUAAUUCGAUGGUAAACGAAGAACCUUACCUAGGUUUGACAUAUAAGUAGUACUGAUCCGAAAGGUGAUGGACCCGCAAGGGAGCUUAUACAGGUGCUGCAUGGUUGUCGUCAGCUCGUGCUGUGAGGUGUUGGGUUAAGUCCCGCAACGAGCGCAACCCUCGUGGAUAGUUGUUUUCUUUAUCCAGACUGCUUUUACAAGAGGAAGGUGGGGAUGACGUCAAAUCAUCAUGGCUCUUACACCUAGGGCUACACACACGCUACAAUGGACAGUACAGACGGUUGCUAAGUCGCAAGAUGGAGCCAAUCCGAUAAAGCUGUCCCCAAUUGGGAUUGUAGGCUGAAACUCGCCUGCAUGAA
This 515-nucleotide ribosomal RNA is filed under the name uncultured bacterium. RNAcentral describes it as "bacterial SSU rRNA". It matches the Rfam family "Bacterial small subunit ribosomal RNA", at positions 791 to 1324 of the family's 1533-position model. The record is from RNAcentral.